UCAAGUGAAGAAGCGCAUACGGUGGAUGCCUUGGCAGUCAGAGGCGAUGAAAGACGUGGUAGCCUGCGAAAAGCUUCGGGGAGUCGGCAAACAGACUUUGAUCCGGAGAUCUCUGAAUGGGGGAACCCACCUAGGAUAACCUAGGUAUCUUGUACUGAAUCCAUAGGUGCAAGAGGCGAACCAGGGGAACUGAAACAUCUAAGUACCCUGAGGAAAAGAAAUCAACCGAGAUUCCCUUAGUAGUGGCGAGCGAACGGGGAUUAGCCCUUAAGCUUCAUUGAUUUUAGCGGAACGCUCUGGAAAGUGCGGCCAUAGUGGGUGAUAGCCCCGUACGCGAAAGGAUCUUUGAAGUGAAAUCGAGUAGGACGGAGCACGAGAAACUUUGUCUGAACAUGGGGGGACCAUCCUCCAAGGCUAAAUACUACUGACUGACCGAUAGUGAACCAGUACCGUGAGGGAAAGGCGAAAAGAACCCCGGAGAGGGGAGUGAAAUAGAACCUGAAACCGUAUGCGUACAAGCAGUGGGAGCCUACUUGUUAGGUGACUGCGUACCUUUUGUAUAAUGGGUCAGCGACUUAUAUUCAGUGGCAAGCUUAACCGUAUAGGGUAGGCGUAGCGAAAGCGAGUCUUAAUAGGGCGUUUAGUCGCUGGGUAUAGACCCGAAACCGGGCGAUCUAUCCAUGAGCAGGUUGAAGGUUAGGUAACACUGACUGGAGGACCGAACCCACUCCCGUUGAAAAGGUAGGGGAUGACUUGUGGAUCGGAGUGAAAGGCUAAUCAAGCUCGGAGAUAGCUGGUUCUCCUCGAAAGCUAUUUAGGUAGCGCCUCAUGUAUCACUCUGGGGGGUAGAGCACUGUUUCGGCUAGGGGGUCAUCCCGACUUACCAAACCGAUGCAAACUCCGAAUACCCAGAAGUGCCGAGCAUGGGAGACACACGGCGGGUGCUAACGUCCGUCGUGAAAAGGGAAACAACCCAGACCGCCAGCUAAGGUCCCAAAGUUGUGGUUAAGUGGUAAACGAUGUGGGAAGGCUUAGACAGCUAGGAGGUUGGCUUAGAAGCAGCCAUCCUUUAAAGAAAGCGUAAUAGCUCACUAGUCGAGUCGGCCUGCGCGGAAGAUGUAACGGGGCUCAAACCACACACCGAAGCUGCGGGUGUCACGUAAGUGACGCGGUAGAGGAGCGUUCUGUAAGCCUGUGAAGGUGAGUUGAGAAGCUUGCUGGAGGUAUCAGAAGUGCGAAUGCUGACAUGAGUAACGACAAUGGGUGUGAAAAACACCCACGCCGAAAGACCAAGGUUCCUGCGCAACGUUAAUCGACGCAGGGUUAGUCGGUUCCUAAGGCGAGGCUGAAAAGCGUAGUCGAUGGGAAACAGGUUAAUAUUCCUGUACUUCUGGUUACUGCGAUGGAGGGACGGAGAAGGCUAGGCCAGCUUGGCGUUGGUUGUCCAAGUUUAAGGUGGUAGGCUGAAAUCUUAGGUAAAUCCGGGGUUUCAAGGCCGAGAGCUGAUGACGAGUCGUCUUUUAGAUGACGAAGUGGUUGAUGCCAUGCUUCCAAGAAAAGCUUCUAAGCUUCAGGUAAUCAGGAACCGUACCCCAAACCGACACAGGUGGUCGGGUAGAGAAUACCAAGGCGCUUGAGAGAACUCGGGUGAAGGAACUAGGCAAAAUGGCACCGUAACUUCGGGAGAAGGUGCGCCGGCUAGGGUGAAGGAUUUACUCCGUAAGCUCUGGCUGGUCGAAGAUACCAGGCCGCUGCGACUGUUUAUUAAAAACACAGCACUCUGCAAACACGAAAGUGGACGUAUAGGGUGUGACGCCUGCCCGGUGCCGGAAGGUUAAUUGAUGGGGUUAGCGCAAGCGAAGCUCUUGAUCGAAGCCCCGGUAAACGGCGGCCGUAACUAUAACGGUCCUAAGGUAGCGAAAUUCCUUGUCGGGUAAGUUCCGACCUGCACGAAUGGCGUAACGAUGGCGGCGCUGUCUCCACCCGAGACUCAGUGAAAUUGAAAUCGCUGUGAAGAUGCAGUGUAUCCGCGGCUAGACGGAAAGACCCCGUGAACCUUUACUGUAGCUUUGCACUGGACUUUGAGCCUGCUUGUGUAGGAUAGGUGGGAGGCUUUGAAGCGUGGACGCCAGUUCGCGUGGAGCCAUCCUUGAAAUACCACCCUGGCAUGCUUGAGGUUCUAACUCUGGUCCGUGAUCCGGAUCGAGGACAGUGUAUGGUGGGCAGUUUGACUGGGGCGGUCUCCUCCUAAAGAGUAACGGAGGAGUACGAAGGUGCGCUCAGACCGGUCGGAAAUCGGUCGCAGAGUAUAAAGGCAAAAGCGCGCUUGACUGCGAGACAGACACGUCGAGCAGGUACGAAAGUAGGUCUUAGUGAUCCGGUGGUUCUGUAUGGAAGGGCCAUCGCUCAACGGAUAAAAGGUACUCCGGGGAUAACAGGCUGAUACCGCCCAAGAGUUCAUAUCGACGGCGGUGUUUGGCACCUCGAUGUCGGCUCAUCACAUCCUGGGGCUGAAGCCGGUCCCAAGGGUAUGGCUGUUCGCCAUUUAAAGUGGUACGCGAGCUGGGUUUAGAACGUCGUGAGACAGUUCGGUCCCUAUCUGCCGUGGACGUUUGAGAUUUGAGAGGGGCUGCUCCUAGUACGAGAGGACCGGAGUGGACGAACCUCUGGUGUUCCGGUUGUCACGCCAGUGGCAUUGCCGGGUAGCUAUGUUCGGAAAAGAUAACCGCUGAAAGCAUCUAAGCGGGAAACUUGCCUCAAGAUGAGAUCUCACUGGGAACUUGAUUCCCCUGAAGGGCCGUCGAAGACUACGACGUUGAUAGGCUGGGUGUGUAAGCGUUGUGAGGCGUUGAGCUAACCAGUACUAAUUGCCCGUGAGGCUUGACCAU
RNAcentral lists this ribosomal RNA (2888 nucleotides) under Pseudomonas aeruginosa. RNAcentral describes it as "bacterial LSU rRNA". It matches the Rfam family "Bacterial large subunit ribosomal RNA". Lineage: Bacteria; Pseudomonadati; Pseudomonadota; Gammaproteobacteria; Pseudomonadales; Pseudomonadaceae. The record is from RNAcentral.